GGCGGCCCGAGUGGUAGCCGUUAUUAUUGGGUUUAAAGGGUCCGUAGCCGGCCUAUUAAGUCUCUUGGGAAAUCUGGCGGCUCAAUCGUCAGGCGUUCAAGAGAUACUGGUAGGCUUGGGACCGGGAGAGGUGGGAGGUACUCCAGGGGUAGGGGUGAAAUCUCGUAAUCCUUGGGGGACCACCGAUGGCGAAGGCAUCCCACCAGAACGGGUCCGACGGUGAGGGACGAAAGCUGGGGGCACGAACC
RNAcentral lists this ribosomal RNA (248 nucleotides) under uncultured euryarchaeote. RNAcentral's name for it is "partial 16S ribosomal RNA". It matches the Rfam family "Archaeal small subunit ribosomal RNA", at positions 478 to 725 of the family's 1478-position model. The record is from RNAcentral. Lineage: Archaea; Methanobacteriati; Methanobacteriota.